This 783-nucleotide ribosomal RNA is filed under the name Hypaetha biramosa. RNAcentral's name for it is "partial 16S ribosomal RNA". The stretch from base 1 to 559 matches the Rfam family "Bacterial large subunit ribosomal RNA", at positions 1850 to 2925 of the family's 2925-position model. The record is from RNAcentral. Lineage: Eukaryota; Metazoa; Arthropoda; Insecta; Coleoptera; Carabidae.
AGGUCUAACCUGCCCAAUGAGGAUUUAAAUGGCCGCAGUAUUUUGACUGUGCAAAGGUAGCAUAAUUAUUAGUUUUUUAAUUGAAAGCUUGUAUGAAGGGUUGGACGAGAUAAAGUCUGUCUUUAUUUAAUUUAUAUUAGAAUUUAACUUUUAAGUAAAAAGGCUUAAAUGUUUAUAAAAGACGAGAAGACCCUAUAGAUCUUUAUUUAUAAAAAAUUUUAAUAAUUUAGGAUUAGUUUAUUUUAAAGUUUUUAAAAAAUUUUAUUGGGGUAAUAUAAAGAUUAAAUUAAUUCUUUUUAUUUUUUACAUUGAUUUAUGAAUAUAUGAUCCAUUAAUAAUGAUUAUAAGAUUAAGUUACCUUAGGGAUAACAGCGUAAUUUUCUUGGAGAGCCCAUAUCGAUAAGAGAGUUUGCGACCUCGAUGUUGGAUUAAAAAUUAUUUUAGGCGUAAAAGUUUAAAAUUUUGGUCUGUUCGACCAUUAAAUUUUUACAUGAUCUGAGUUCAGACCGGCGUAAGCCAGGUCGGUUUCUAUCUUUAUGUUUUUUGAAUAUUUUAGUACGAAAGGACCAAAUAUUUGAUAUAUUUAUAUUUAUUUUUUGAAUAAUAUUAAAAAUUACUUUGGCAGAAGUUAGUGCAAUGAAUUUAGAAUUCAUAAAUGUAAUAAUAUUACAGGUAAUACUUGUAUUUAGGAGAUUUAUUAUUAAUGAUUUUAUCUUUAUUAAUUUUAGUAGUAUGUGUAUUAGUUGGUGUAGCUUUUUUGACUUUAUUAGAGCGUAGGGUAUU